AAAUUGAAGAGUUUGAUCAUGGCUCAGAUUGAACGCUGGCGGCAGGCCUAACACAUGCAAGUCGAACGGUAACAGGAAGCAGCUUGCUGCUUUGCUGACGAGUGGCGGACGGGUGAGUAAUGUCUGGGAAACUGCCUGAUGGAGGGGGAUAACUACUGGAAACGGUGGCUAAUACCGCAUAACGUCGCAAGACCAAAGAGGGGGACCUUCGGGCCUCUUGCCAUCAGAUGUGCCCAGAUGGGAUUAGCUUGUUGGUGAGGUAACGGCUCACCAAGGCGACGAUCCCUAGCUGGUCUGAGAGGAUGACCAGCCACACUGGAACUGAGACACGGUCCAGACUCCUACGGGAGGCAGCAGUGGGGAAUAUUGCACAAUGGGCGCAAGCCUGAUGCAGCCAUGCCGCGUGUAUGAAGAAGGCCUUCGGGUUGUAAAGUACUUUCAGCGGGGAGGAAGGUGUUGUGGUUAAUAACCGCAGCAAUUGACGUUACCCGCAGAAGAAGCACCGGCUAACUCCGUGCCAGCAGCCGCGGUAAUACGGAGGGUGCAAGCGUUAAUCGGAAUUACUGGGCGUAAAGCGCACGCAGGCGGUCUGUCAAGUCGGAUGUGAAAUCCCCGGGCUCAACCUGGGAACUGCAUUCGAAACUGGCAGGCUUGAGUCUUGUAGAGGGGGGUAGAAUUCCAGGUGUAGCGGUGAAAUGCGUAGAGAUCUGGAGGAAUACCGGUGGCGAAGGCGGCCCCCUGGACAAAGACUGACGCUCAGGUGCGAAAGCGUGGGGAGCAAACAGGAUUAGAUACCCUGGUAGUCCACGCCGUAAACGAUGUCUACUUGGAGGUUGUGCCCUUGAGGCGUGGCUUCCGGAGCUAACGCGUUAAGUAGACCGCCUGGGGAGUACGGCCGCAAGGUUAAAACUCAAAUGAAUUGACGGGGGCCCGCACAAGCGGUGGAGCAUGUGGUUUAAUUCGAUGCAACGCGAAGAACCUUACCUGGUCUUGACAUCCACAGAAGAAUCCAGAGAUGGAUUUGUGCCUUCGGGAACUGUGAGACAGGUGCUGCAUGGCUGUCGUCAGCUCGUGUUGUGAAAUGUUGGGUUAAGUCCCGCAACGAGCGCAACCCUUAUCCUUUGUUGCCAGCGGUCCGGCCGGGAACUCAAAGGAGACUGCCAGUGAUAAACUGGAGGAAGGUGGGGAUGACGUCAAGUCAUCAUGGCCCUUACGACCAGGGCUACACACGUGCUACAAUGGCGCAUACAAAGAGAAGCGACCUCGCGAGAGCAAGCGGACCUCAUAAAGUGCGUCGUAGUCCGGAUUGGAGUCUGCAACUCGACUCCAUGAAGUCGGAAUCGCUAGUAAUCGUGGAUCAGAAUGCCACGGUGAAUACGUUCCCGGGCCUUGUACACACCGCCCGUCACACCAUGGGAGUGGGUUGCAAAAGAAGUAGGUAGCUUAACCUUCGGGAGGGCGCUUACCACUUUGUGAUUCAUGACUGGGGUGAAGUCGUAACAAGGUAACCGUAGGGGAACCUGCGGUUGGAUCACCUCCUUACCUGAAAGAA
RNAcentral lists this ribosomal RNA (1552 nucleotides) under Salmonella enterica. RNAcentral's name for it is "bacterial SSU rRNA". It matches the Rfam family "Bacterial small subunit ribosomal RNA". The record is from RNAcentral. RNAcentral also lists the same sequence under 1 other name. Lineage: Bacteria; Pseudomonadati; Pseudomonadota; Gammaproteobacteria; Enterobacterales; Enterobacteriaceae.